GACGAACGCUGGCGGCGUGCCUAAUACAUGCAAGUAGAACGCACAGGCUAUACCGUAGCUUGCUACACCAUAAACUGUGAGGUGCGAACGGGGUAGGAACGCGUAGGUAACCUGCCUGGUAGCGGGGGAAAACGACGGGUAACGAUAGCUAAGACCACAUAAUAUUGAUUCUUGCUUUAGAAUGGAUUGAAAGAUGCUAUUGGAUCACUACCAGAUGGACCUUCGUUGUAUUAGCUAGUAGGCGAGGUAACGGCUCACCUAGGUGACGAGACAUAGCCGACAUGCGAGGGUGGUCGGCCGCCCUGAGACUGCGACCCGGCACAGACUCCUACGGGAGGCAGCCGUAGGGCAACUUCGGCAAUCGGCGAAAGUCUGACCGAGCAGCGCGGAGUGAGUGAAGAAGGUCUUCGGGUCGUAAAGCUCUGUUGUCAGAGAAGAACGGGUGUGAGGGUGGAAAGUACACACUGUGACGGCAUCUUAACAGAAAGGGACGGCUAACUACGUG
This 505-nucleotide ribosomal RNA is filed under the name uncultured bacterium. Its description in RNAcentral is "partial 16S ribosomal RNA". It matches the Rfam family "Bacterial small subunit ribosomal RNA", at positions 28 to 507 of the family's 1533-position model. The record is from RNAcentral.